RNAcentral lists this transfer RNA (85 nucleotides) under Wolbachia endosymbiont of Meromenopon meropis. RNAcentral's name for it is "tRNA-Leu". It matches the Rfam family "tRNA". From Rfam's summary of the family: Transfer RNA (tRNA) molecules are approximately 80 nucleotides in length. Lineage: Bacteria; Pseudomonadati; Pseudomonadota; Alphaproteobacteria; Rickettsiales; Anaplasmataceae. The record is from RNAcentral.
GCUCGGGUGGCGGAAUCUGGUAGACGCGCUAGCUUCAGGUGUUAGUAACUUUUUAGUUGUGGAAGUUCAAAUCUUCUCUCGAGCA